GACACAUCUUUGCGGAAAACGUGAUUUUGAACAUCACCAAAAGAAGUUCAACUCUUCUAUGUGUCU
This 66-nucleotide transfer RNA is filed under the name Siphonosoma cumanense. RNAcentral's name for it is "tRNA-Ser". Lineage: Eukaryota; Metazoa; Annelida; Sipuncula; Golfingiida; Sipunculidae. The record is from RNAcentral.